CCCUUAGAUGUUCUGGGCUGCACGCGCGCUACACUGAAGCGUUCAACGAGUAUUCACCUUGCCCGGGAGGGUUGGGUAAUCUUUUGAAAACGCUUCGUGAUGGGGAUAGAUUAUUGCAAUUAUUAAUCUUCAACGAGGAAUUCCUAGUAAGCGCGAGUCAUCAGCUCGUGCUGAUUACGUCCCUGCCCUUUGUACACACCGCCCGUCGCUCCUACCGAUCGAAGAGUUAGGUGAAUUGUUUUGAUCGAUAAGAUUUGACUAUGGUCAACUCUCGUUGUGAAAUUCUGUGAAUCUGACUGUUUAGAGGAAGGAAAAGUCGUAACA
RNAcentral lists this ribosomal RNA (324 nucleotides) under uncultured eukaryote. RNAcentral describes it as "partial 18S ribosomal RNA". It matches the Rfam family "Eukaryotic small subunit ribosomal RNA", at positions 1470 to 1796 of the family's 1831-position model. The record is from RNAcentral.